CGCUGGUUCGAUUCCGGCUCGAAGGAC
RNAcentral lists this non-coding RNA (27 nucleotides) under Xenopus tropicalis (tropical clawed frog). Lineage: Eukaryota; Metazoa; Chordata; Amphibia; Anura; Pipidae. The record is from RNAcentral. RNAcentral also lists the same sequence under 8 other names.